Molecule: long non-coding RNA, 261 nt
Filed under: Medicago truncatula (barrel medic)
Lineage: Eukaryota; Viridiplantae; Streptophyta; Magnoliopsida; Fabales; Fabaceae
Description: lncRNA gene26579
Source: RNAcentral
CAAUUUUGUUCUUUCACAUCAGUUGCGGCCUCUGUUUGAAGUUUGAAUUACGAGCGUUUCCAGCAGCAGUUGCAUCUAACAAGCAAAAAUGGAUGGAUACCUAUUCCUCAUACGUGUGAAUGUGAUUGCUACAAGAUGCAUCUUAAGGCAAGUUCUUCUGGAAAUCUUAACUAUGUUUAUGAGGCCUUUAGCAUUGCUUUUGAAAUAAGUUUUAGAAAAAUAGUUUCUUUGUGCAUACUUGAAUUCCAUAAUAUCAAUUUC